UUUCCGUAGGUGAACCUGCGGAAGGAUCAUUAAUGAAAUGUAAGGACGCUCUUUUUAGAGGUCCGACCAACUCAUUUACCUUUCUACACUGUGCACACACUACACUUUUUACACCUUUUUUAACACUUCAGUUUAAGAAUGUAUAUCAGUCUCUUUAUUGAGCAUAAAUUAAAUAAAACUUUCAGCAACGGAUCUCUUGGCUCUCGCAUCGAUGAAGAACGCAGC
This 225-nucleotide unclassified non-coding RNA is filed under the name uncultured fungus. RNAcentral describes it as "sequence contains ITS1, 5.8S rRNA gene". The stretch from base 177 to 225 matches the Rfam family "5.8S ribosomal RNA", at positions 1 to 49 of the family's 154-position model. The record is from RNAcentral. Lineage: Eukaryota; Fungi.